CUACGGGUUGCUCCAGUGGGGAAUAUUGCACAAUGGACGAAAGUCUGAUGCAGCAACGCCGCGUGGAGGAUGACACAUUUCGGUGCGUAAACUCCUUUUAUAUAGGAAGAUAAUGACGGUACUAUAUGAAUAAGCACCGGCUAACUCCGUGCCAGCAGCCGCGGUAAUACGGAGGGUGCAAGCGUUACUCGGAAUCACUGGGCGUAAAGAGCGUGUAGGCGGGUAUAUAAGUCAGAAGUGAAAUCCAAUAGCUUAACUAUUGAACUGCUUUUGAAACUGUAUACCUAGAAUGUGGGAGAGGUAGAUGGAAUUUCUGGUGUAGGGGUAAAAUCCGUAGAGAUCAGAAGGAAUACCGAUUGCGAAGGCGAUCUACUGGAACAUUAUUGACGCUGAGACGCGAAAGCGUGGGGAGCAAACAGGAUUAGAUACCCGUGUAGUC
RNAcentral lists this ribosomal RNA (439 nucleotides) under uncultured bacterium. RNAcentral describes it as "partial 16S ribosomal RNA". It matches the Rfam family "Bacterial small subunit ribosomal RNA", at positions 339 to 795 of the family's 1533-position model. The record is from RNAcentral.